Drosophila sulfurigaster albostrigata is the source of this 667-nucleotide long non-coding RNA. RefSeq lists it as uncharacterized. The transcript has 3 exons. NCBI's taxonomy places the organism in Eukaryota, Metazoa, Arthropoda, Insecta, Diptera, Drosophilidae. The record is from RefSeq and is a predicted model, not a curated record.
UUUCAUUUGUACAUGUAUUUGUUUGUCAUUAAAUGUAAAUUUAUUGUAGAAUUUUAAUUAUCUGCCAUUUAUUGGGUGAAAUUAACAUUAAUGCGGCUAGUGGAAACAGUCUCUAAAGGAAGCAAUGGAAGCAUCUUGAUUGUGGCAGAGAGACAAUCAAAUCGACAUUGAGGCGCACAAUUGAUGCGGCAAACUUUAUGCGGAAAUUCCGAGAAUUGCCAUUGAAUUGCAGAUGCUUUCUCACUCGCACAGCUUAAACUUUGACUGUUUUAAAUGCAGUGCACAAAGUGGUAAAGAGUCUUCGAGUCUUAAGCCAUCUUUCGUCUUCCAUCUACGCCAACACCAACAACAACAACAACUGCCAAAAUCCGAAAGUCAGGCGCAAAAGUAUUCAAAAAGAAGUGCAGCUGAAAAAGUUCACAUUUCAAGAUGCCAUUUUCUUGACUUUCCUCCCCCCCCCCACACACACACACUCACACUCACAUGCACAGCUCAGCAAAUGUACUCAGCACCACAGCCACAGCCCAUCACCAACAGCAACAGCAACUGAAAAGGCAACUGCUACAACUACAGCAACAACAACUGCACCACAUUAGGGGUGUGUUUGCGGGUGUGGUUGUGAAUAUUAAUACCCUGUAAGAUUUUUAGAUUUUGUCAGCCGAGAGCU